AUCAAGUAUGAAAUGCGUUAAAAAAAAUUGUGAUUUUAAAAUUUUUCUGAAAGCUAAUAAUUCGAAUCUAAAUUUAAAAGUAAAUUAAUAAUUUAUUAAUAAUUAACAUAAAUUAUGGUGUUUUUUUAUUUUUGCGAGUGUCCUGUUAAAAUAUGCAAAGUUAUCUCAACAGUUAUUUCGGUGAAACGGAGGAGGGUUAGAAGAUGGAAAAAUUCAUUAAGAAAAAAAAGGAACGUUCUUCGUAAUACAAUUUUCUCUUAUCAUAGCUACAACUGAAGAAUUGAAGGAAUGGUUUUCAAACUAAUUUCUUUAGUUCGUAUAAACCAAUAAUUUACUUUACAUUUAAUUUGGAAUACAAUGCCUGCAG
Cinara cedri is the source of this 367-nucleotide non-coding RNA. The record is from the annotation of a GenBank genome assembly. Lineage: Eukaryota; Metazoa; Arthropoda; Insecta; Hemiptera; Aphididae.